Non-coding RNA from Coturnix japonica (Japanese quail), 2971 nucleotides. NCBI's taxonomy places the organism in Eukaryota, Metazoa, Chordata, Aves, Galliformes, Phasianidae. The record is from RefSeq and is a predicted model, not a curated record.
GCUAGUCAGAUUCACUGGGGGGCUGAGUAUGCUCAACAUAUGUUACCAAGGCGCAUGUGCUCAGCCAGUCUAACAUAAUCAUGGGUUUUGUUGGCUUGCUGAAAUGCCUUGCUGUUUUCUAACUUCAACAGGUAACCUUCAUCAGCUAAUCAGACUGGAAAUAUUCACAAAAAUACACAAAAUCUAUAAGUAUCCGUUUUGGACUGGACGUUAACAGAUAACUAAAAGAAUGCUGAUGAGUGCAGUUAAAAGGUCUGCAUGCUUGUCAGAAGAUGUUACGCCUUCCUCAUAGUAUCCCUCACAAUUAUAGAGCAACAGAUAACUCAAAAGACCAAACACAAGCACAUUUCAGUAAUGGAGACGUGGAGACAUGGAGACAAAAAGCCAAAGCACCUUGAAGGCCUGGAUGUAAAAAUUUAAUUGCUGUUCACAAAUAGUUCCCUGGCUUUACACUUUUUACUGUGGGCAAAACUGACAGCUAUCCAGCACAAGAUCUGAUCACCAGUCAAAUUCCAGGAAAGCCAGCAAUCUUAUGGAGCACAGCCAGACAUUCAAAUCACACAGCUGUUUCCUCCAGCAAAAUUACCUGUGUUGUAUCUGACUCUUCGAAGAAACAAUACGAAACUGAAAAUAUUUUUUUUGCCCCUUGCUGGUGUGCCAAGUCCUUCGAGGAAAGAAUGAAUGAUGAGUCAUAGCCGGUGCCAGACAUUCAAGACCAUUGCCAGAAAUGCAAUGCAAAUGUAACUGCAAAGCAGUGGUAGGUGUACUGUUGACUGCAAAAGUAUUUUGCAUUUGUCACUUCUAAUGUGAGGCUGAAGAACAAAUAUAUAGCAGAACAAAAGAGUUUGAAAAUACAAAUACCCUGAAACCUGUAAGUUCAAAGCCACAGGGUAAACUGAAUCUACUUCAAUAAAUUACAUUUUUGGUAAUGUUUUGAACUGUAUACUUUUUUAAGCCAAAUUGACCAGUGCUCAGAGAUUUGUAGUGCUUGAUAUCUUUUCAAAGUACCACCCUUUUGUCCUCCAGCAAUACUGCUAAACCACUCUAGUUUCUCCUAAUGCUCCACCAUUUCUCAAACGCUCAAAUCUAACUUAGUUUUCACCUUCUUUCCUCUAAACAUGCAUGGAACACCUUCCCCUCCCACCUUCACCAACCCAAACUUGUGUUAGUACAUAGGUGGCACAGAACCUUUCCCAGCCCAGAAACUUCCUUGCUUAAAGUUUAACCAAGAAAAACUGCACAUCCUGCUAAAUGCAGUGAGGAGAUUAAAGUCUCUGAUUAACAUGCUAUGUGAAUCCACAUCUCCGUUGCUUGUGAGAGAAAGGAAGAGUCUGUGUCAACAACCUGACCUGUAAGUCUUCCAACUUAACCUAUUUUUAAGAAUUCUCUUGUCUCACCAAAGUAUGUAUAUAUUUGCCCUGAGUAUAUCAAAGUAAUAAACAACAUCUAUGACUCUAUUUAAGUACCAAGCUCACAAGCUAAAUAAAGAACUAAUAGAAAGUGAAGGACAAGUAAUUCAUACAAGUAGGUCUUGGGAAAAUGAUUAAAGUUCUGCAUUUUUCCAAUCCAUCCUCCCUCUGAAAUUCACAGUCAAGUUACAUGGGAAAUGAUACAAAGGUUGCCCAGGGUUUUCUGCUUAUGAGUGAAAAGUGAAAUUAAUCUUUGAUCCUCUGGCCAAAAGGGAUAUUGAUGUGAAAUCUCAAAAUUUACUAAGUCUUAGCUUGUCCGUGGAACUGGCUGAACCUUCUCACAGGCACAGAUGCCAGUACCUCAUGCUGCUUUCAGCUGGUCCACCUCAGAGAGAAGUUUAUUACUGUAGUCUUACAGUUUCAUUACUGAAUUCCUCAACAGUAAGCUCUUUUUCAGACUUUUCCUACUCAAUGAUCUUCAUUUAGUUUACCGCUAUUGUUUCCAGAAUUAUCCCUCUGCAAGGAAUAUAUUUUAUCAGUAAAGAAAAUCAAUCACUCAGUUACAGAAUAAUUGAUAUUAAUAUCCUGUACUUUUAAGAAUUUGUACUUUAUUCUUUUUCCAAGAUAAAAAAAAAAAAAAAAUGUAAGUAAAAACAAAAGAAUACUUGGGCUUAAUCUCACUGCUUCUGAACAUGGUGUCCUAACCAUCUUCUGUUCACCUUAUGUCCUGGCCUGUUGUCUCCCUUUAAUCCUGACCACAGGCACACUCAUCCAGUUGAACUUCACUCUGUGAAGAUUUUUUUUUUUCCCAAAGCCAAUCUGAUUUUCUCUAUCACCAGAGUCAGUGCUAUAUCUCUUACUGUACUUUUCUUUUUAAUAGAAACUUGGCUGCUGGCUGUGGAAAGCUUGAUGCAUUUAUAUGCAGAUGACAUUUCUAUUUUCACUGAAUGAUGAGGUUUCCUCUCUUCUUAAUUCCCUUUCUUCUUAAAUGGCAAAUGUGAUCAUCUGAUUUAAUGAGUGCCUUUUCUUCACAAGGCAUCAUUAAAAAAAGGGUGGCAUUGCCUUUGUGUUCCUUUUUCUACUCAAAAUUUCUUUAAAAAAAAAAAAAAAAAAAAAGAGUAGAAUUCGGGUAUAAAAGGUAUGUAGCUCCUAGACCUAAUCAUUGACAUUUGUAAUCCAGAUUCACAGGACCACUUAGAUGUUGUCUAAGUUUGAAUGUUCGUUGGUAUUUAAGACACUGGUCUCUAACUGGCCAAGUAACAAACUGUGAGUCAUCUGAACUCUCCAAACAGUAAAGCUCGGGUGUACAGAAAGCACCAGUCACUAAAUUUUAUCUAUAGUUUUUGGAAUACUGAGCAUAAAAAUCUUUCAAACAUUUUAUAUCUCUGAAUCAAUUGUAUAACUUCAUCUGCUAUCACUCCGCAGCAACAGCUUUCCUGAAUGUAAAAAAGACUAUUAAAAAAUGUUCUCACUCCCUCAAUUUUCUUCCUAUCUAAAAUGACUCAUUUUAACUUUUUCAAUUUUCUUACCAUCUUAAAAUUGAAUUAUUUUUAAAUAUAUAU